Molecule: ribosomal RNA, 405 nt
Filed under: uncultured bacterium
Lineage: Bacteria
Description: partial 16S ribosomal RNA
Rfam family: Bacterial small subunit ribosomal RNA
Source: RNAcentral
AUUGAACGCUGGCGGCAGGCUUAACACAUGCAAGUCGAACGAGUGGCGGACGGGUGAGUAAUGCUUGGGAAUCUAGCUUAUGGAGGGGGAUAACUACGGGAAACUGUAGCUAAUACCGCGUACCAUAGGAUGAGCCCAAGGGGGAUUAGGUAGUUGGUGAGGUAAAGGCUCACCAAGCCGACGAUCUCUAGCUGGUCUGAGAGGAUGACCAGCCACACUGUGACUGAGACACGGCCCAGACUCCUAGGGGAGGCAGCAGGGGGGAAUAUUGCGCAAUGGGGGCAACCUGACGCAGCCAUGCCGCGUGAAUGAAGAAGGCCUUCGGGUUGUAAAGUUCUUUCGGUAGCGAGGCGUUCCCUACCUCCGAAGCACCGGCUAACUCCGUGCCAGCAGCCGCGGUAAUAC